ACAGUUGGAAACGACUGCUAAUACCGCAUGACGCAUAGAGGUCGCAUGAUUUUUAUGCCAAAGAUUUAUCGCUUCAAGAUGGCCUCGCGUCUGAUUAGCUAGUUGGCGGGGUAACGGCCCACCAAGGCGACGAUCAGUAGCCGGACUGAGAGGUUGAACGGCCACAUUGGGACUGAGAUACGGCCCAGACUCCUACGGGAGGCAGCAGUGGGGAAUAUUGGGCAAUGGGCGCAAGCCUGACCCAGCAACGCCGCGUGAAGGAAGAAGGCUUUCGGGUUGUAAACUUCUUUUAAGAGGGAAGAGCAGAAGACGGUACCUCUAGAAUAAGCCACGG
This 334-nucleotide ribosomal RNA is filed under the name uncultured bacterium. RNAcentral's name for it is "bacterial SSU rRNA". It matches the Rfam family "Bacterial small subunit ribosomal RNA", at positions 146 to 496 of the family's 1533-position model. The record is from RNAcentral.